AACUUAGUGGCUGACUUAAAGUGCAAGUCUUUUAAACUUGAAAUGGUUUUAUAAACCCUAAGUUG
RNAcentral lists this transfer RNA (65 nucleotides) under Trypaea australiensis. Its description in RNAcentral is "tRNA-Lys". Lineage: Eukaryota; Metazoa; Arthropoda; Malacostraca; Decapoda; Callianassidae. The record is from RNAcentral.